This is a long non-coding RNA of Chenopodium quinoa (quinoa), 490 nucleotides long. RefSeq lists it as uncharacterized. The record is from RefSeq and is a predicted model, not a curated record. The transcript is spliced from 3 exons. NCBI's taxonomy places the organism in Eukaryota, Viridiplantae, Streptophyta, Magnoliopsida, Caryophyllales, Amaranthaceae.
UGCUUCAUAUAAUUGAAACGCUUUUAUACUGCACUAUCACUAUUCACUAGAGUAUUAACUGCUUAUUGCUUCAGAAAAACGAUGAAAAGUGAAACCUCAUGUUGCUCAAUUCACCAAUUACUACUUCGCCGCCCUACUGCACCACCGUCAGCCCAUCUCCCCACUGUCGUUCCACCACCACACUGCUGAACAUCACUUCACCGCACCGCACCGCUACACCACCACUGCACUUUCCAGUUAUCAGGCACUUUUACUAAGUCAUCCAAAGAAAGACAUGGUGACAUUGCAGAAUACCAGCCAUUUAUAAAUAUAUUGACAAAGCUAAUGAUCGACAAGCUUAGGGGAAGAUGGAUUUCAUAUGUUACCGGAUGUCAUCAACCAAAUGACGACAUUGAUGAUUUAUCUGGAUUAAAGAUCUAUAAUAUUGGUAUAUCUAAGCUAGAUUAUACAUUUUAAUUUUUUUUUUAUCAACAUCAAUAAGAAAGGUGUU